UGCAGAUGUAGCUCAGUGGUAGAGCGCAACCUUGCCAAGGUUGAUGUCGUGGGUUCGAAUCCCAUCAUCUGCU
RNAcentral lists this transfer RNA (73 nucleotides) under Flexiglena variabilis. RNAcentral's name for it is "tRNA-Ala". It matches the Rfam family "tRNA". From Rfam's summary of the family: Transfer RNA (tRNA) molecules are approximately 80 nucleotides in length. The record is from RNAcentral. Lineage: Eukaryota; Euglenozoa; Euglenophyceae; Euglenales; Phacaceae.